ACUAUUUUGGCAGAUUAGUGCAAUAAAUUUAGAAUUUAUAUAUGUAAAUAUUUUACAAAUAGUA
This 64-nucleotide transfer RNA is filed under the name Drosophila fraburu. RNAcentral describes it as "tRNA-Leu". Lineage: Eukaryota; Metazoa; Arthropoda; Insecta; Diptera; Drosophilidae. The record is from RNAcentral.